UACGAAUAGGAAUUUAUUAGAAAGUAUAGGUUAAUAUAAAACACUCAAACAACUAUUAUAUAGUAUACUGUAUAAAUUAUGUUGCAUGUAAAUGAAUCCGAAAAGUACUGACUACACAAGGCCUCAAUUUCGUUCUUCCAGUAUAUACGUCUGUAAUAUUUUCCCAAAACAAGAGUAAAUUUCUUUAUAAUCGAUAAGUGAGGACAUUUCGGUUUAUUUUAAUAACUUCGUACUCACAGUUUUACGAAAAAUAAAUCAAAUUUCUGAUAUUUUAAGCUACUUGUAAGCAAUUCUCAAUUGAAGAAAAGUAUGGUAUAUUAAAUCUUUAUGUAAACACACACAUUUAGAAUGAUAUAAUUGCAAUGUCCAUGAUUGUGAGAUAAAGAAUACUAUCUUUUUGUCAUGUGUUGGUUAAGAUAUAUACAUAAAACGCACGUAUUUGUAAAAAAUGGAAAUCAACACGUUUAAUAAUUUCAUGCGUCCGAAGCGCUUUUCUGGCUUUACCUUCAGCAGGAACGCCCGAAGCCAAACAUUUGAAAUUUGAAGAUGUAUAAGUACCAAACCCGUUGAAAAGCUUUAUGACAUAAAUACAUAAAAUAAAUAGACAAAUUCAGCUAAAGUUAACUUUGCCCGAGGGAGUUGAAACCUUAGUUUUUAUAUAAUUUCAAAAUUUAUAAACGGAUAAGGAUAAUUUUAGAAAAAAAUUGUUGAAUCAUGUCAGUACCGAAGUACUGACUACUGAGCUGUAGGCUAUAAUCAAUAACAAAAAUAUGUAUACACUAAUCGUCUGUUGAUCUAUAAUACUCAUUUAUGUAUAAAACAAUUUAAAUAAAUUUAUUACAAAUAAUUACGAAAAAAUAAACAUCAGGCUAUACAUUAUUGGUCAGUCUUGAGUCAAUGUGCAUAUUUAUAUAUUUGGAAUUGUACAAUUUAUUAUUUAAAUCAUGUUACAAGAAAAUCAUAAUGACAAUCAGAGUAUAUUUUAAAUUUUAAUACAUAAAGAUUGUAUUCUGUUAAACUCAAAUUUAUUUCAUCCUCUACAUACUUUGUUACUCUUUUUCGAUAGAAGAUGGGUUUUUUUUUUGCAUUAAAAAGUCAUGUAACUUUUACAGUCAAAAAUACUUAAUGAACCUUUUCUUCAGUCAUAGUGACACAUUACGCAUGCUCUUUAUCUUGAAAGAUCAUAUUACUUAUAGUCACUUAUAAAUGAACUCAGAUGCUAAAAUUGAAAACAUAAAUUCAAACUAUGUAUGUUCAUGUAUAAAGAUGUAUCUAAUCAAAAUUCAAAACGGAAGUCCCUUCUUUAAUAAUUCUAACCUCCCCAAUUUGUCAUCAAAUCGCAAAUCAAUCCCCCGAUAUACAGAUUAGAUAUUCGGUAUAUGUUACUGAUACGUAGUUGACCCGAAUGAGGAUGAUACCCUUAUCGUGCUUUCUCCACGUUUUUGAGGCGAACUAAAAAUGUUAAAAAAAUCAUAUCAAUUGAUAUAAUUACACAUAUUCCACAACAUUCUUUAUAUAACACAUAUCAAUCAUCCAAUACUAUUUCAAAGUAGAACAAGUUAAAAAGUAAAAUCACAAAAAUACUGAACUCCGAGGAAAAAUUCAAAACCGAAAGUCCGUAAUCAAAUGGCAAAAUCAAAUGAUA
RNAcentral lists this long non-coding RNA (1645 nucleotides) under Mytilus galloprovincialis (Mediterranean mussel). Lineage: Eukaryota; Metazoa; Mollusca; Bivalvia; Mytilida; Mytilidae. The record is from RNAcentral.